UACGGAGGGUGCAAGCGUUGUCCGGAUUUAUUGGGGUUAAAGGGUGCGUAGGCGGCCUUGUAAGUCAGGGGUGAAAGACGGUAGCUCAACUAUCGCAGUGCCUUUGAUACUGCAGGGCUUGAAUGUACUUGAGGUAGGCGGAAUGUGACAAGUAGCGGUGAAAUGCAUAGAUAUGUCACAGAACACCAAUUGCGAAGGCAGCUUACUAAAGUAUGAUUGACGCUGAGGCACGAAAGCGUGGGGAUCAAACAGG
RNAcentral lists this ribosomal RNA (253 nucleotides) under uncultured bacterium. RNAcentral's name for it is "partial 16S ribosomal RNA". It matches the Rfam family "Bacterial small subunit ribosomal RNA", at positions 524 to 776 of the family's 1533-position model. The record is from RNAcentral.